RNAcentral lists this unclassified non-coding RNA (166 nucleotides) under uncultured Bionectria. Its description in RNAcentral is "sequence contains ITS2". The record is from RNAcentral. Lineage: Eukaryota; Fungi; Ascomycota; Sordariomycetes; Hypocreales; Bionectriaceae.
CAACCCUCACACUCCUAGGGUGUGGUGUUGGGGAUCGGCCAAAGCCCGCAAGGGACGGCCGGCCCCUAAAUCUAGUGGCGGACCCGUUGUGGCCUCCUCUGCGAAGUAGUAAUAUUCCGCAUUAGAGAAGCAGCGAGCCCCUGCCGUAAAACCCCCAACUUUCUAA